UUAAGUUAUUAAGGGCGCACGGUGGAUGCCUUGGCACUAGAAGCCGAUGAAGGACGUUACUAACGACGAUAUGCUUUGGGGAGCUGUAAGUAAGCUUUGAUCCAGAGAUUUCCGAAUGGGGAAACCCAACAUGAGUUAUGUCAUGUUAUCGAUAUGUGAAUACAUAGCAUAUCAGAAGGCACACCCGGAGAACUGAAACAUCUUAGUACCCGGAGGAAGAGAAAGAAAAUUCGAUUCCCUUAGUAGCGGCGAGCGAAACGGGAAGAGCCCAAACCAACAAGCUUGCUUGUUGGGGUUGUAGGACACUCUAUACGGAGUUACAAAGGACGACAUUAGACGAAUCAUCUGGAAAGAUGAAUCAAAGAAGGUAAUAAUCCUGUAGUCGAAAAUGUUGUCUCUCUUGAGUGGAUCCUGAGUACGACGGAGCACGUGAAAUUCCGUCGGAAUCUGGGAGGACCAUCUCCUAAGGCUAAAUACUCUCUAGUGACCGAUAGUGAACCAGUACCGUGAGGGAAAGGUGAAAAGCACCCCGGAAGGGGAGUGAAAUAGAACCUGAAACCGUGUGCUUACAAGUAGUCAGAGCCCGUUAAUGGGUGAUGGCGUGCCUUUUGUAGAAUGAACCGGCGAGUUACGAUUUGAUGCAAGGUUAAGCAGUAAAUGUGGAGCCGUAGCGAAAGCGAGUCUGAAUAGGGCGUUUAGUAUUUGGUCGUAGACCCGAAACCAGGUGAUCUACCCUUGGUCAGGUUGAAGUUCAGGUAACACUGAAUGGAGGACCGAACCGACUUACGUUGAAAAGUGAGCGGAUGAACUGAGGGUAGCGGAGAAAUUCCAAUCGAACCUGGAGAUAGCUGGUUCUCUCCGAAAUAGCUUUAGGGCUAGCCUCAAGUGAUGAUUAUUGGAGGUAGAGCACUGUUUGGACGAGGGGCCCCUCUCGGGUUACCGAAUUCAGACAAACUCCGAAUGCCAAUUAAUUUAACUUGGGAGUCAGAACAUGGGUGAUAAGGUCCGUGUUCGAAAGGGAAACAGCCCAGACCACCAGCUAAGGUCCCAAAAUAUAUGUUAAGUGGAAAAGGAUGUGGCGUUGCCCAGACAACUAGGAUGUUGGCUUAGAAGCAGCCAUCAUUUAAAGAGUGCGUAAUAGCUCACUAGUCGAGUGACACUGCGCCGAAAAUGUACCGGGGCUAAACAUAUUACCGAAGCUGUGGAUUGUCGGUAACACUGAAUGGAGGACCGAACCGACUUACGUUGAAAAGUGAGCGGAUGAACUGAGGGUAGCGGAGAAAUUCCAAUCGAACCUGGAGAUAGCUGGUUCUCUCCGAAAUAGCUUUAGGGCUAGCCUCAAGUGAUGAUUAUUGGAGGUAGAGCACUGUUUGGACGAGGGGCCCCUCUCGGGUUACCGAAUUCAGACAAACUCCGAAUGCCAAUUAAUUUAACUUGGGAGUCAGAACAUGGGUGAUAAGGUCCGUGUUCGAAAGGGAAACAGCCCAGACCACCAGCUAAGGUCCCAAAAUAUAUGUUAAGUGGAAAAGGAUGUGGCGUUGCCCAGACAACUAGGAUGUUGGCUUAGAAGCAGCCAUCAUUUAAAGAGUGCGUAAUAGCUCACUAGUCGAGUGACACUGCGCCGAAAAUGUACCGGGGCUAAACAUAUUACCGAAGCUGUGGAUUGUACUUUGGACAAUGGUAGGAGAGCGUUCUAAGGGCGUUGAAGCAUGAUCGUAAGGACAUGUGGAGCGCUUAGAAGUGAGAAUGCCGGUGUGAGUAGCGAAAGACGGGUGAGAAUCCCGUCUACCGAUUGACUAAGGUUUCCAGAGGAAGGCUCGUCCGCUCUGGGUUAGUCGGGUCCUAAGCUGAGGCCGACAGGCGUAGGCGAUGGAUAACAGGUUGAUAUUCCUGUACCACCUAUAAUCGUUUUAAUCGAUGGGGGGACGCAGUAGGAUAGGCGAAGCGUGCGAUUGGAUUGCACGUCUAAGCAGUAAGGCUGAGUAUUAGGCAAAUCCGGUACUCAUUAAGGCUGAGCUGUGAUGGGGAGAAGACAUUGUGUCUUCGAGUCGUUGAUUUCACACUGCCGAGAAAAGCCUCUAGAUAGAAAAUAGGUGCCCGUACCGCAAACCGACACAGGUAGUCAAGAUGAGAAUUCUAAGGUGAGCGAGCGAACUCUCGUUAAGGAACUCGGCAAAAUGACCCCGUAACUUCGGGAGAAGGGGUGCUCUUUAGGGUUAACGCCCAGAAGAGCCGCAGUGAAUAGGCCCAAGCGACUGUUUAUCAAAAACACAGGUCUCUGCUAAACCGUAAGGUGAUGUAUAGGGGCUGACGCCUGCCCGGUGCUGGAAGGUUAAGAGGAGUGGUUAGCUUCUGCGAAGCUACGAAUCGAAGCCCCAGUAAACGGCGGCCGUAACUAUAACGGUCCUAAGGUAGCGAAAUUCCUUGUCGGGUAAGUUCCGACCCGCACGAAAGGCGUAACGAUUUGGGCACUGUCUCAACGAGAGACUCGGUGAAAUCAUAGUACCUGUGAAGAUGCAGGUUACCCGCGACAGGACGGAAAGACCCCGUGGAGCUUUACUGUAGCCUGAUAUUGAAAUUCGGCACAGCUUGUACAGGAUAGGUAGGAGCCUUUGAAACGUGAGCGCUAGCUUACGUGGAGGCGCUGGUGGGAUACUACCCUAGCUGUGUUGGCUUUCUAACCCGCACCACUUAUCGUGGUGGGAGACAGUGUCAGGCGGGCAGUUUGACUGGGGCGGUCGCCUCCUAAAAGGUAACGGAGGCGCUCAAAGGUUCCCUCAGAAUGGUUGGAAAUCAUUCAUAGAGUGUAAAGGCAUAAGGGAGCUUGACUGCGAGACCUACAAGUCGAGCAGGGUCGAAAGACGGACUUAGUGAUCCGGUGGUUCCGCAUGGAAGGGCCAUCGCUCAACGGAUAAAAGCUACCCCGGGGAUAACAGGCUUAUCUCCCCCAAGAGUUCACAUCGACGGGGAGGUUUGGCACCUCGAUGUCGGCUCAUCGCAUCCUGGGGCUGUAGUCGGUCCCAAGGGUUGGGCUGUUCGCCCAUUAAAGCGGUACGCGAGCUGGGUUCAGAACGUCGUGAGACAGUUCGGUCCCUAUCCGUCGUGGGCGUAGGAAAUUUGAGAGGAGCUGUCCUUAGUACGAGAGGACCGGGAUGGACAUACCUCUGGUGUACCAGUUGUCGUGCCAACGGCAUAGCUGGGUAGCUAUGUGUGGACGGGAUAAGUGCUGAAAGCAUCUAAGCAUGAAGCCCCCCUCAAGAUGAGAUUUCCCAACUUCGGUUAUAAGAUCCCUCAAAGAUGAUGAGGUUAAUAGGUUCGAGGUGGAAGCAUGGUGACAUGUGGAGCUGACGAAUACUAAUCGAUCGAAGACUUAAUCAA
RNAcentral lists this ribosomal RNA (3378 nucleotides) under Staphylococcus argenteus. RNAcentral describes it as "bacterial LSU rRNA". It matches the Rfam family "Bacterial large subunit ribosomal RNA". Lineage: Bacteria; Bacillati; Bacillota; Bacilli; Caryophanales; Staphylococcaceae. The record is from RNAcentral.